AGGAAGGACUAGGUUAGCGUACUCACGCUCCUCUCCCAGCCUUCAUUUCACACUAGCUCUGGGGCUUUUUUCCCUUCCUCCUGCAGCUCUGACAGAGAUGGUAGGUGAGUCCUCUCCUGGCGCCCCAUCUGUUUGGUUUAUUACUUUCCAUGCACUGUCCUCCUUUUCCCAAAGAGUCCUCUCUCUUUUCUACCACAUUGUUCCCAUCCAUUCAUUGUUUCCUUUAUGCAGGAUGGAGGGCACUUGUUUUUCUUAGGUAGAAAAGGGUGUUAAUCCUAAGUGCUUAUGGAAGAUCUCUUCUUAGAAAGCCACAAGGUUGUUUUUAACAAUUGCCAACAUCAGGAUUGCAGUACUUGGAAGUCAAAGGCUGACUUGUGUUGGUUUUGAGCUUUCCUGUCUCCCAGCCUGCUCCCAUCAAGCUUAGUGUUGUUAGCACACACCGCCUCUCUUCUCUCAUCUUCUAUUGCUCCAUGUAUAGGCUAGCAUUUAGUUAUUCUCCACUUGUUUUAUGUCCCACUCAUA
RNAcentral lists this long non-coding RNA (522 nucleotides) under Marmota monax (woodchuck). Lineage: Eukaryota; Metazoa; Chordata; Mammalia; Rodentia; Sciuridae. The record is from RNAcentral.